GGGCCCAUGGUGUAGGGGUAAGCGUGGUUUUCUCUGACCAAGUCGGCCUGGGUUCGAUCCCAGACGGUCCC
This 71-nucleotide transfer RNA is filed under the name Culex quinquefasciatus (southern house mosquito). RNAcentral describes it as "tRNA-Gln". Lineage: Eukaryota; Metazoa; Arthropoda; Insecta; Diptera; Culicidae. The record is from RNAcentral.